Long non-coding RNA from Leptopilina boulardi, 3702 nucleotides. RefSeq lists it as uncharacterized. NCBI's taxonomy places the organism in Eukaryota, Metazoa, Arthropoda, Insecta, Hymenoptera, Figitidae. The record is from RefSeq and is a predicted model, not a curated record. The transcript has 3 exons.
CUUUUGAAAACUACUGCAAUAUAAUUGAUGUUUGUAGUAGUAGAGGCCAAUAAUAACAUAAAUUAGCGUCACAUGUAAAACUUGUUUGUAUACGGUAAAAAUACUUAACUAUGUGUCAUAGGAAAGCGUGAGUGCGAGUGAGACGGUAAUGGAACAACGCAUGAGAGUUUCCUUGUUGUACUUCUGGACUAAUUCAUAUUUCUGAAGAGGACGUCAGUGCAGUCAAAAAAUAGAACUCCUGCUUUUUAUAUUUUUACACCUUGAUUUGGAGGAUGGAUAUAUUUCAACUUAUAUCUUUGAGAAGAUUAUUAUAUGACAGAAGGACUUAUAAAUUUAAGUGGAAGAAAAAUUAAUAAUGCAGUAAAAGGAAUAACCUAAUAAGGGAUUAGUACAUGAUGAACCUGUACACCAUUAUUUCGCCUGGGAUGAAACGUAUCCUGAAGAAUGUUAUUGUAAACAUUUCUGCUUAAAUUUUAACGAUGAUGGCAGUAGCAGUUAUAAAGAUUAAGAUUAAGAAUGUGAUUUUUUACGGCAGUGUUAUAUCCUAGUAUAUUAGUCAUUUUUUUCGUUUCUUUUAUUUUCUUUACUCUAUUUCAAUUUUUAUAUAAAAUCUGAGAAAAACAUUCUUUUUUUCGCUUUACAUCUUGUCUUUAUCAUUUUGUUGAUAAAGACUUGUUCAACAUAAAAUGGUGAGAAAUUAAAAUAUUGGUUUAAAUUAAACAGGAUAUUUUUCUCAAAUUUUCAAAUAUAAAAUAACUUAAGCUCAAAAAUAAUAAUAAAAUAAUAAUAAAAAAAUAAUAAUAAUUUUUAUGAAACAAAUAUUUAUUAAUUAUACUUCUGUUGCAAUGUUCUACGAAUGGGCCUUUGCUUAAGAAAUUCGCUGAAUUUUAAUAAAAAAAUUAAUUUCAACGUCCAAUCAAGAGAGUAAAAAAUUAUUAUUGCUAAUGUAAGCUGGUAAAAAGACGCCGGCACGGAGAAAUGGCUAUGCACACGCGAAAUUAAUACAAGAUAUAUUUAAGCACACUUUAUUAGUUUACAAUACAGUAAGUCAAGCUCUGUCUCGACACUCUCCAAACUCUCACUUAACUCUACUCUGCCGAAACCCCAAAAUUACUUCUUCACAAUAGCUCCCCCUAGGUCGUUGCUACUACCCCGUAGUAACGCCUACCAUAACUACUACCCCUAGUCAAUGAUGUGUCCGCCUUGCUCAUCUGGUCGUCAAUCGGUGGACGGCUUUUUACCCAAAAGCACGCCGUCUCUCUUCCAGAAGAUGCUUCACGGCUAUGUUGAUUGUUUCGGGUGGUAGUCCGUCCAUCACCCGAGUUAACUCCAAAAUCGCUGGAGUCAGCUCCAUAGUUUGGAUUUCCGCUGAUACCGCUUCCAUAACAGUGGACGGUGGAGCAUCAGGCCUCUGUCGCUUAUCCCUCUCUCUCUCCGUCUCUCACUACCCUUGUUGAAAUUCCUCCUUCGAUUAAAAAAAAAAAGAUAAUCAUUAGUUACGAUCACUGAUUACGCGGAGGAAGAUAUUGUUUAAGGUCAGAGAUGUGAAUUUUAGGGAUACAAAGACUCUCGCUAUCGUGAAAGACAAAAACCGUAGGUGAUAAAUUUUCCACGACCUCGAAAGGGCCUUCAUAUGUCGGUGCGAGUUUUGUUGCGAAAUUCCGUGUACCACUCGACAAUUUGUGUGUUUUACGGAGUAAUAAAUCACCGACGUUGAACAACUCCUCACGUCGAUUACGGUUAUAGUACUCUGUCUGUCGAUCACAUUUUCUGUUAAUAAAUUUCGCCACCAAGUCUCGCAACGGGUCUAACCACUUCACCCUGUCUACCUAAUCUUCUGGCACAAUUCUCUUAACCUGAUCUUGUUUUUCUACCUCCAGUCGCAAUCUUUUCACCGGUCGAGGAUGACUUCUGUAAUUUAAAAAUGCGGAAGACGUUUUAGUCGCCGCCUGUGUCGCAAUGUUCAUAGCAUCGCGAAAUUCAUAAACAUGAAGAUCCCAGUCGCAAUAAUCAUUCCCUAUGAAAGUCGCAAUCAUGGUCUUCAAUGUCCGGUUACUCCUCUUCACAGGAUUAGCUUGCGGAUGGUAGGGAGGUGUCGUGAUGUGUUUGACUCCGUAUUCCUGAUGGGUUUCCUUGAGGAAUUUGUUGUCAAAUUCCUUCCCAUUGUCUGUCAAUAAAAAGUCAGGGGUUUGCCAGCGGAAAAGGACCAAUUCUUCAAAUGCUUUGGCCAGACUUGGUCUGCUGUGCGAUGAUUCACUUCUCCCCCUUUUUCUAAUGGCUCCUUUACUUUGUUGGUCCUCUGAAAUUCCUAGGUCGCGAACCGCCCGUGAAUUUUUCUCCUCGUCGCUACUGGAAUAAAACUCACUUCCCCUUUGCAGAUUAAUAUUGGGCAAUAGUUCUUCAUUUGAUUCCGUGAAUGCCUAAAACCGAAAAAAUAUCUAAAUUCCCUUUAUCGUAAUCGUCGCAGAAGGGUACGUCAAUUUCCGAGGGAAGCGUGAGUUUUAACUCGGCCCGAAAAAGUCGCUCUAGCAAAACCUGUAACGAGCCACUAAUACUUAAUUGAUUAGCUAACAGGCUCGUUACCACUUGUCCUACUGGCAUCCCUAUGAUAACCCGCCAGAAUUAUUUCGUUUGUGGAAUUGUGGACAAGUGACGCAUCCUUUCCAUGUAAAAGUGCAUUCGUUCAAUAGCCUCUGCCAUUCUGAACGUCCGAAAAAUUUAAUUGUCGAGAAAUAAAAAAGAUAAUUUAAACUGCAGCAAAAUUAAAAUAUUUUUUAAUGAAAAUUAAUUUUUGGGAGCCCGCUCCCUAUUAGACACGGCACUGGUCACUUAAAAGAAAUUCCGUUUAUUAAUCGAGUCGCCACGAAGAAAAUCUUUCUUCCUUAAAAAUUUACACGCAAAAAUGUAAAUUAGUUUUUGAAGAGCCCUUCAGUGCGUUGACACGAUCCUGGUCAAUAAUUUUUAUACACUUGCUUGACUAGUCGGUAAGGAAGAUUUUUCUCCCUAAAAUUUUUCAUUUAUCUGGAACAAUCAUACAAAAAGCACAUAAUUACUUAUUGUAUUUCGGUUAAUCGAUUAUUAUUCCAUACGGUGAUAAUAGAGUAUUACAUUUAAGACUACUCCACCAAGAGUGAAGACAACUAUUUUAUAUUCGGCGCUAACUUCAAUCUAAUGAUUGGAGCGGCAAAAUUAAGGAAGCAUCAGAAAAUAAAUUGGUGAGAAACAAAAUUUGUAUCGUUCCAAAUAUGUAUAUUGUCAAUUCAUUUUUCAUUCAUUAAAAUUUGUUGUGUACCAUCAUCCAUGCAUUUAAAUAAAGGAAAACAGAUGUAAGAAAAUUAAGUAAAAUUUAAUUUAAUCGAAGCUAUACCAUUAACUCGGCUACCAAAAUGUUUAGUAAUUCGAUCAGUAUAAAUUUCGCGAGAGAUACUCAAUAUUUUAACUUGAGGGUAGAAUAAUUUAUAUACGAAAUCAUAUAUUUUAGGUAAUGGAGAGUUCGAUGCAAUUAAAGCAAAAAACAGUUGCUAAUUUUCCACGAACUCCUUAUUAUAAAUACAAAAAGAACGAGCUAUAAAAGUAUUAGAUUCUUCUUAUAAGAAUAGCUCGAACUCCAACUGAUUUUCAGGCGGACUUUAUACAACACAAUCUUACCUGCUUAUACAUACGUGCUAACUCACACAAAUAAAAAUUUGGCUAUGUGAUAUC